Molecule: ribosomal RNA, 778 nt
Filed under: Salmonella enterica
Lineage: Bacteria; Pseudomonadati; Pseudomonadota; Gammaproteobacteria; Enterobacterales; Enterobacteriaceae
Description: partial 23S ribosomal RNA
Rfam family: Bacterial large subunit ribosomal RNA
Source: RNAcentral
CCCGAGACUCAGUGAAAUUGAACUCGCUGUGAAGAUGCAGUGUACCCGCGGCAAGACGGAAAGACCCCGUGAACCUUUACUAUAGCUUGACACUGAACAUUGAGCCUUGAUGUGUAGGAUAGGUGGGAGGCUUUGAAGUGUGGACGCCAGUCUGCAUGGAGCCGACCUUGAAAUACCACCCUUUAAUGUUUGAUGUUCUAACGUGGACCCGUGAUCCGGGUUGCGGACAGUGUCUGGUGGGUAGUUUGACUGGGGCGGUCUCCUCCUAAAGAGUAACGGAGGAGCACGAAGGUUGGCUAAUCCUGGUCGGACAUCAGGAGGUUAGUGCAAUGGCAUAAGCCAGCUUGACUGCGAGCGUGACGGCGCGAGCAGGUGCGAAAGCAGGUCAUAGUGAUCCGGUGGUUCUGAAUGGAAGGGCCAUCGCUCAACGGAUAAAAGGUACUCCGGGGAUAACAGGCUGAUACCGCCCAAGAGUUCAUAUCGACGGCGGUGUUUGGCACCUCGAUGUCGGCUCAUCACAUCCUGGGGCUGAAGUAGGUCCCAAGGGUAUGGCUGUUCGCCAUUUAAAGUGGUACGCGAGCUGGGUUUAGAACGUCGUGAGACAGUUCGGUCCCUAUCUGCCGUGGGCGCUGGAGAACUGAGGGGGGCUGCUCCUAGUACGAGAGGACCGGAGUGGACGCAUCACUGGUGUUCGGGUUGUCAUGCCAAUGGCACUGCCCGGUAGCUAAAUGCGGAAGAGAUAAGUGCUGAAAGCAUCUAAGCACGAAACUUGCCCCGA